UGAAGAUCAACUGCAGCAGUCUUCCAUGACAACUUUGGUUCUAUUAGAGAUUGGAACUUUAGUUCCCACUCUCACAUUGUGGACCCAUUGGUUUUAAAAAGCAUAGUUUGUAGGGAUGCCAUUCAAUUGGUAGUGGCUAGAGGAUACAAAAGGGUUCAAUUUGAAGGGGACUAUUUAACUUUAAUUCAGGCCUUGCAUGACUCUCACCCUCCUUUGGAUAUUUCAACAAUUGUGCAAGAUAUUUGGCUCCCUAGUGUCCAAUUAGAUUUAGUUACUUUUCAUUUUGUG
This 288-nucleotide unclassified non-coding RNA is filed under the name Hevea brasiliensis (rubber tree). The record is from RNAcentral. Lineage: Eukaryota; Viridiplantae; Streptophyta; Magnoliopsida; Malpighiales; Euphorbiaceae.